RNAcentral lists this transfer RNA (76 nucleotides) under Alkaliphilus serpentinus. RNAcentral's name for it is "Alkaliphilus sp. LacT tRNA-Val". It matches the Rfam family "tRNA". From Rfam's summary of the family: Transfer RNA (tRNA) molecules are approximately 80 nucleotides in length. Their secondary structure includes four short double-helical elements and three loops (D, anti-codon, and T loops). The record is from RNAcentral. RNAcentral also lists the same sequence under 1 other name. Lineage: Bacteria; Bacillati; Bacillota; Clostridia; Peptostreptococcales; Natronincolaceae.
GGGAGCAUAGCUCAGCUGGGAGAGCACCUGCCUUACAAGCAGGGGGUCACAGGUUCGAUCCCUGUUGCUCCCACCA